This 641-nucleotide ribosomal RNA is filed under the name uncultured bacterium. Its description in RNAcentral is "bacterial SSU rRNA". It matches the Rfam family "Bacterial small subunit ribosomal RNA", at positions 62 to 691 of the family's 1533-position model. The record is from RNAcentral.
UCGAGGGGCAGCAUUUCAGUUUGCUUGCAAACUGGAGAUGGCGACCGGCGCACGGGUGAGUAACACGUAUCCAACCUGCCGAUAACUCGGGGAUAGCCUUUCGAAAGAAAGAUUAAUACCCGAUGGUAUAAUUAGACCGCAUGGUCUUGUUAUUAAAGAAUUUCGGUUAUCGAUGGGGAUGCGUUCCAUUAGGCAGUUGGUGAGGUAACGGCUCACCAAACCUUCGAUGGAUAGGGGUUCUGAGAGGAAGGUCCCCCACAUUGGAACUGAGACACGGCCCAAACUCCUACGGGAGGCAGCAGUGAGGAAUAUUGGUCAAUGGGCGCAGGCCUGAACCAGCCAAGUAGCGUGAAGGAUGACUGCCCUAUGGGUUGUAAACUUCUUUUAUAUGGGAAUAAAGUUUUCCACGUGUGGAAUUUUGUAUGUACCAUAUGAAUAAGGAUCGGCUAACUCCGUGCCAGCAGCCGCGGUAAUACGGAGGAUCCGAGCGUUAUCCGGAUUUAUUGGGUUUAAAGGGAGCGUAGGUGGACAGUUAAGUCAGUUGUGAAAGUUUGCGGCUCAACCGUAAAAUUGCAGUUGAUACUGGCUGUCUUGAGUACAGUAGAGGUGGGCGGAAUUCGUGGUGUAGCGGUGGAAUGCUU